This 494-nucleotide ribosomal RNA is filed under the name uncultured bacterium. RNAcentral's name for it is "partial 16S ribosomal RNA". It matches the Rfam family "Bacterial small subunit ribosomal RNA", at positions 28 to 507 of the family's 1533-position model. The record is from RNAcentral.
GACGAACGCUGGCGGCGUGCUUAACACAUGCAAGUCGAACGGUGAAGCGCCUUCCUUUUUGGUGGGUGUGGAUGAGUGGCGAACGGGUGAGUAACACGUGAGUAACCUGCCCCCUUCUUCUGGAUAACCGCAUGAAAGUGUGGCUAAUACGGGAUAUUCUGGGUCUGUCGCAUGAUGGGUCUGGGAAAGAUAUUGUUUCGGUGGGGGAUGGGCUCGCGGCCUAUCAGCCUGUUGGUGGGGUGAUGGCCUACCAAGGCGGUGACGGGUAGCCGGCCUGAGAGGGUGGACGGUCACACUGGGGCUGAGACACGGCCCAGACUCCUACGGGGGGCAGCAGUGGGGAAUAUUGCACAAUGGGCGCAAGCCUGAUGCAGCGACGCCGCGGGAGGGGUGGAGGCCUUCGGGUUGUGAACCUCUUUCGCCAGUGAAGCAGGCCUGCCUCGUUUGUGGGUGGAUUGACGGUAGCUGGAAAAGAAGCGCCGGCUAACUACGUG